AUAUCAGAUUAGCUAGUUGGUGGGGUAAAAGCUCACCAAGGCGACGAUCUGUAGCUGGUCUGAGAGGACGACCAGCCACACUGGAACUGAGACACGGUCCAGACUCCUACGGGAGGCAGCAGUGGGGAAUUUUGGACAAUGGGCGCAAGCCUGAUCCAGCAAUGCCGCGUGCAGGAUGAAGGCCUUCGGGUUGUAAACUGCUUUUGUACGGAACGAAAAGGUUCUUUCUAAUAAAGAGAGCCCAUGACGGUACCGUAAGAAUAAGCACCGGCUAACUACGUGCCAGCAGCCGCGGUAAUACGUAGGGUGCGAGCGUUAAUCGGAAUUACUGGGCGUAAAGCGUGCGCAGGCGGUUAUGUAAGACAGAUGUGAAAUCCCCGGGCUCAACCUGGGACCUGCAUUUGUGACUGCAUAGCUAGAGUACGGUAGAGGGGGAUGGAAUUCCGCGUGUAGCAGUGAAAUGCGUAGAUAUGCGGAGGAACACCGAUGGCGAAGGCAAUCCCCUGGACCUGUACUGACGCUCAUGCACGAAAGCGUGGGGAGCAAACAGGAUUAGAUACCCUGGUAGUCCACGCCCUAAACGAUGUCAACUGGUUGUUGGGUCUUCACUGACCCAGUAACGAAGCUAACGCGUGAA
This 637-nucleotide ribosomal RNA is filed under the name uncultured bacterium. RNAcentral describes it as "bacterial SSU rRNA". It matches the Rfam family "Bacterial small subunit ribosomal RNA", at positions 233 to 863 of the family's 1533-position model. The record is from RNAcentral.